UAGCAGAUGAUAGAGUACAAGUCGGGUCUUCCAGAGACAAGAGUUCCAGUGCACCAUUGAAAUUACUUAAGGCCCAUACACACUAGAAGACUUGAAAAAUGUGGAAAAUGAACAAUGUGGAAGAUGUGCAAUUUCCUUUGAACUCCCUGACAAAUGAGACUGAGUGUACACACUGAGCUUUUUUACAAUCUUAACAACGAACCAUCUGCUCUGCUGGGAUUGAGGGGAUUUAGCUGCAUGCAUGGAAGACAUGCCCACCGCUUCAAACGACCAUGGGAGCGUGCAUCGUUCGCUGUUUACACACUAGAACGAUCUGAUCGUUCACAACCGUCGUUAUCGCUCAUAUCUAUGGAAAAUAUCUUCUAGUGUGUAUGGGCCUUUACUUUUUCUCGAGAUUGUGAUGUCUUCUGUAGAAAUGCCAGUUUGGAUUUUGGUAUAGAGGUCCAUGCCAACAUAAUCGGGAACAUUUUAUAUCAUGCAUUGGACACAGACUCACAGCAAUGAAGGUUUCCUCCUGUCCAUGGGCACUAAAAAUAGGCAUUUGACAGAAUUUCAUGGAGCAACAGCUUAAAGAUUGAGGAUGGGCGAAGGCAUGCUGAUUUUUUGUACUCUGCAGUAACCAAUUGGAUCAUAUAAAAAUAAAUGUUCUUUAUUUCACGAG
Long non-coding RNA from Pseudophryne corroboree (corroboree frog), 661 nucleotides. RefSeq lists it as uncharacterized. The record is from RefSeq and is a predicted model, not a curated record. The transcript is spliced from 2 exons. NCBI's taxonomy places the organism in Eukaryota, Metazoa, Chordata, Amphibia, Anura, Myobatrachidae.